RNAcentral lists this ribosomal RNA (116 nucleotides) under Pseudomonas fragi. Lineage: Bacteria; Pseudomonadati; Pseudomonadota; Gammaproteobacteria; Pseudomonadales; Pseudomonadaceae. The record is from RNAcentral.
CUUGACGACCAUAGAACAUUGGAACCACCUGAUCCCAUCCCGAACUCAGUAGUGAAACGAUGCAUCGCCGAUGGUAGUGUGGGGUUUCCCCAUGUGAGAGUAGGUCAUCGUCAAGA